UCAAAGAAGAAGGAUCCUUUGGCUCGUGAGGUCAUGGGUAGAUUUCACGCUCAAGUUUUAAGCGCCUUCAAUUCUGAUAUCGUUUCUAUCGAGGUUCUUUGAACGGGUUUCUGUUCCGGUGUGUUUCCGGUGGAUCGCCGAUUAGAACCUUGCCGGAAUCGUUCUGCCGGCUGAGAUCGGUGGUGACUCGUAUGGUGGACACGUGUCCAGGCCACGCUAUAUGUUAACGCGUGAUGUCCAAGUCGACCGCGUUCUUUUCUA
Molecule: long non-coding RNA, 261 nt
Filed under: Brassica rapa (field mustard)
Lineage: Eukaryota; Viridiplantae; Streptophyta; Magnoliopsida; Brassicales; Brassicaceae
Description: long non-coding RNA (BRAP_LNC007050)
Source: RNAcentral